GCAACAAGAGAACUAAUGCAGUGAUUGGUAGAAUAAUCCUAUAGGCGGUCCUUAAUGCCUGUUGCUGAGGCCGGAAAAUUCUGGAAUUGUUCUUCUCGUCUUUCGCCAUUUUAAACUCGUCAGCCCAGCCAACUGAGGUCCGAACCCUUGUGCUGCGAGGACUGCCUGUCCUGCUCGGGGAUGAUGAGUCUGCUUUUUUUAAGUCAUGUUUGGUGUCGGAUCAUCGCAAUUCUAUCCUUGAUGUGCCAGUGGGGAUCUUAUUUGAGCACACCGAUCUUCAGCCCCCCAACUCCUUGCAUUUCAAUUCCCUUUUCAAUUCCCUUUACUGUUAAAAAUGUUUAGUUGUUUAUGUGCACAAAGUUGCAGCAGUGAUGUUGGGCAGCAGUUAAGGUGAUGUUAAUUCUGAUGGGGUUUUUUUUAUUUACACUGACAUUUUAUUCAUUUAUCUGUACAUUUUUGUAGA
Silurus meridionalis is the source of this 463-nucleotide long non-coding RNA. RefSeq lists it as uncharacterized. The transcript is spliced from 3 exons. NCBI's taxonomy places the organism in Eukaryota, Metazoa, Chordata, Actinopteri, Siluriformes, Siluridae. The record is from RefSeq and is a predicted model, not a curated record.